This 822-nucleotide ribosomal RNA is filed under the name Rhodococcus sp. 48AAIII. RNAcentral describes it as "bacterial SSU rRNA". It matches the Rfam family "Bacterial small subunit ribosomal RNA", at positions 53 to 889 of the family's 1533-position model. The record is from RNAcentral. Lineage: Bacteria; Bacillati; Actinomycetota; Actinomycetes; Mycobacteriales; Nocardiaceae.
ACCAUGCAAGUCGAGCGGUAAGGCCUUUCGGGGUACACGAGCGGCGAACGGGUGAGUAACACGUGGGUGAUCUGCCCUGCACUUCGGGAUAAGCCUGGGAAACUGGGUCUAAUACCGGAUAUGACCUCAGGUUGCAUGACUUGGGGUGGAAAGAUUUAUCGGUGCAGGAUGGGCCCGCGGCCUAUCAGCUUGUUGGUGGGGUAAUGGCCUACCAAGGCGACGACGGGUAGCCGACCUGAGAGGGUGACCGGCCACACUGGGACUGAGACACGGCCCAGACUCCUACGGGAGGCAGCAGUGGGGAAUAUUGCACAAUGGGCGAAAGCCUGAUGCAGCGACGCCGCGUGAGGGAUGACGGCCUUCGGGUUGUAAACCUCUUUCAGCAGGGACGAAGCGCAAGUGACGGUACCUGCAGAAGAAGCACCGGCUAACUACGUGCCAGCAGCCGCGGUAAUACGUAGGGUGCAAGCGUUGUCCGGAAUUACUGGGCGUAAAGAGUUCGUAGGCGGUUUGUCGCGUCGUUUGUGAAAACCAGCAGCUCAACUGCUGGCUUGCAGGCGAUACGGGCAGACUUGAGUACUGCAGGGGAGACUGGAAUUCCUGGUGUAGCGGUGAAAUGCGCAGAUAUCAGGAGGAACACCGGUGGCGAAGGCGGGUCUCUGGGCAGUAACUGACGCUGAGGAACGAAAGCGUGGGUAGCGAACAGGAUUAGAUACCCUGGUAGUCCACGCCGUAAACGGUGGGCGCUAGGUGUGGGUUCCUUCCACGGAAUCCGUGCCGUAGCUAACGCAUUAAGCGCCCCGGCCUGGGGAGUACGGCCGC